RNAcentral lists this non-coding RNA (29 nucleotides) under Mus musculus (house mouse). The record is from RNAcentral. Lineage: Eukaryota; Metazoa; Chordata; Mammalia; Rodentia; Muridae.
UCCCAAUGCCUUUCCNGUACCACAGUAGA